AUGGGCUCCUCCGGGAGCUCGGUGACCGACGGGAAGUACUGGCUCACCCGAGCCACCUCCGCCUCCGUCAUCCGGUGGGUGACCCAGGGCCCCGGUCGCCCCCGGCCACCAGAUCUAUCCCCUUUAGUUCCCUUAGACGUACCUUUGUCUUGAGCUACGACCUCCGCCCACGACCUCGACGGCGGCGCCGCAGUCUGCAUCGUCGAGUCUUUGUUUGCUUCCACCGCCAUCGUCCCAGAUGCCUGAUCCCCGACCGAGCCAGACGACCCCACCAUCGGCAGCUUCCCCUUUGCCUGGUCCAUCGGGAUGCCCUGCAAAAAAGGAAAGAAACAGCGCCUUUCUCACUGGGUGUUAGACAGAACCUGGGAUCACGGGAUGAGCCGAGCACCAGGUAGCAACAGAAACUCUUCUUCCGCCGCCGAGCACCGCCGGCGAAGAAGACCGUUAGCUUUUCUCUCU
This 459-nucleotide long non-coding RNA is filed under the name Phoenix dactylifera (date palm). RNAcentral describes it as "long non-coding RNA (PDAC_LNC000365)". The record is from RNAcentral. Lineage: Eukaryota; Viridiplantae; Streptophyta; Magnoliopsida; Arecales; Arecaceae.